CUCUAGAAAACACAGAGGGAAAUGAUCUAUCCAGGGUUCUCUGGUUAAAAAGUCACUCAUCAGAGGUAUGGCUGGAAAGAAGAACAAACUAUACUAGAAGUUUAGCAGUUAUGAGUAUGGUUGGUUAUAUUCUUGGGUUAGGUGAUCGACACC
Molecule: non-coding RNA, 153 nt
Organism: Camelina sativa (false flax)
Lineage: Eukaryota; Viridiplantae; Streptophyta; Magnoliopsida; Brassicales; Brassicaceae
Source: RefSeq, a predicted model, not a curated record